CAGCAGUCGCCGCGGUAAUACGUAGGUGGCAAGCGUUGUCCGGAAUUAUUGGGCGUGAAGCGCGCGCAGGUGGUUUAAUAAGUCUGAUGUGAAAGCCCACGGCUCAACCGUGGAGGGUCAUUGGAAACUGUUAAACUUGAGUGCAGGAGAGAAAAGUGGAAUUCCUAGUGUAGCGGUGAAAUGCGUAGAGAUUAGGAGGAACACCAGUGGCGAAGGCGGCUUUUUGGCCUGUAACUGACACUGAGGCGCGAAAGCGUGGGGAGCAAACAGGAUUAGAUACCCCCGUAGUCCCUGUCUCUUAUAC
This 304-nucleotide ribosomal RNA is filed under the name uncultured bacterium. RNAcentral describes it as "partial 16S ribosomal RNA". It matches the Rfam family "Bacterial small subunit ribosomal RNA", at positions 509 to 807 of the family's 1533-position model. The record is from RNAcentral.